UGCAGCAGGCGCGCAAACUUUACAAUGCGAGCAAUCGUGAUAAGGAAACCCUGAGUGCCUGUCGAUGCAGGCUGUUCAUAUAUCUAAAUCAUAUGUGAAGAAAGGGCAGGGCAAGACCGGUGCCAGCCGCCGCGGUAAUACCGGCUGCUCGAGUGAUGGCCACUAUUACUGGGUUUAAAGCGUCCGUAGCUUGACUGUUAGGUCUCUUGGGAAAUCUUCACGCUCAACGUGAAGGCGUCUAAGAGAUACCGGCAGUCUUGGAACUGGGAGAGGUAAACCGUACUUCGGGGGUAGGAGUGAAAUCUUGUAAUCCUCGAGGGACGACCUAUGGCGAAGGCAGUUUACCAGAACAGCUUCGACAGUGAGGGACGAAAGCUGGGGGAGCAAACGGGAUUAGAUACCCCGGUAGUCCCAGCCGUAAACAAUGUGCGUUAGGUGUGUCGGUAACCACGUGUUACUGAUGCGCCGAAGAGAAAUCGUGAAACGCACCACCUGGGAAGUACGGUCGCAAGGCUGAAACUUAAAGGAAUUGGCGGGGGAGCACCACAACAGGUGGAGCCUGCGGUUUAAUUGGAUUCAACGCCGGACAUCUCACCGGAUAAGACAGCUGAAUGAUUGUCAAUCUGAAGGUUUUACAUGACUAGCUGAGAGGAGGUGCAUGGCCAAUCA
Molecule: ribosomal RNA, 669 nt
Filed under: uncultured archaeon
Lineage: Archaea
Description: bacterial SSU rRNA
Rfam family: Archaeal small subunit ribosomal RNA
Source: RNAcentral